This 232-nucleotide ribosomal RNA is filed under the name uncultured bacterium. RNAcentral's name for it is "partial 16S ribosomal RNA". It matches the Rfam family "Bacterial small subunit ribosomal RNA", at positions 118 to 347 of the family's 1533-position model. The record is from RNAcentral.
UGAGCAAUCUGCCCUUCUCUUCGGAAUAAGCGUUGGAAACGACGUCUAAUGCCGAAUACGACCUCCUUUCGCAUGAUCGGAGGUGGAAAGCUCCGGCGGAGAAGGAUGAGCUCGCGGCCUAUCAGCUAGUUGGUGUGGGUAAUGGCCCACCAAGGCGACGACGGGUAGCCGGCCUGAGAGGGUGACCGGCCACACUGGGACUGAGACACGGCCCAGACCUCCCGUACGGGGA